UUGCGAGUAAGUCCCUUCCGAAGUAUAAAUGGGUGGCACCUUGAGGCGACCGCGACGCAGUAGGAAGGGGUUCGCAA
Molecule: non-coding RNA, 77 nt
Filed under: unclassified sequences
Description: DUF3800-X RNA
Rfam family: DUF3800-X RNA
Source: Rfam by way of RNAcentral